Long non-coding RNA from Lycium ferocissimum, 631 nucleotides. RefSeq lists it as uncharacterized. The transcript has 3 exons. The record is from RefSeq and is a predicted model, not a curated record. Lineage: Eukaryota; Viridiplantae; Streptophyta; Magnoliopsida; Solanales; Solanaceae.
CAAAUAACACUAAAUGAGACUCCGAAUAAAUUCGCAUUUAGUGACACGACAUGAUGUAACUUUCUAUUUAUGUAGAACAUCUUGGGUCUCACUGAAGGCGUGAAGACUGCUCCUAUAACAUAUCCAGAAUUAGUCGACUUGCCUGUCGAACAUUUAGUCUCAAAGAAUGAUCAGAAGAUUUUAAUCAACUGUGGUGCUGCAGAAUAUCAAAAGGCAUCAGAUAACGUGUAUGUUCUGGACUUGUCUUUGCUCAAAGGAGGGGCCCCAGGACGGACACGAGGACUAAACCUAUAUGUCACCAAUCCUUCAACUGAUCGCGUAAAUGGUGACAAUCAGCUGAGCUAACCUACCACCUUUGGUUUCAAUAAUUGUUUUUCACUUCUUACAUCUUUAAAGGGAUCGAGCCCUUCAAGAGAGCCACGCUUCGACUACGUGAUAUCUUUCUUGGAUAGUUUGAACUAUUUAGUUCCUAAUCCACGAUUAAAUGAGAAAUGGUUUCUAAUUGAUGCGGAAAUUGUAGGUUAGCAGCCUUAAACUAUUGAGAGCCUAAGAUAUGGAACUGUUCUACCCAAGGACUACGUAGAGUAAGAAUGAGUAUGUUGGAUGGAAUUCUUUCAUCUUUUUCUCUAGU